CCUACGGGUGGCAGCAGUGAGGAAUAUUGGUCAAUGGUCGGGAGACUGAACCAGCCAAGCCGCGUGAGGGAUGAAGGUACAGAGUAUCGUAAACCUCUUUUGUCAGGGAACAAAGGCGGGGACGCGUCCCCGGAUGAGUGUACCUGAAGAAAAAGCAUCGGCUAACUCCGUGCCAGCAGCCGCGGUAAUACGGAGGAUGCGAGCGUUAUCCGGAUUUAUUGGGUUUAAGGGGUGCGCAGGCGGUCUGUCAAGUCAGCGGUCAAAGCCCGGGGCCCAACCCCGGCCCGCGGUUGAGACUGGCAGUCUCGAGUUGGAGAGAGGUAGGCGGAAUGCGGGGUGGAGCGGUGAAAUGCAUAGAUA
RNAcentral lists this ribosomal RNA (360 nucleotides) under uncultured bacterium. RNAcentral's name for it is "partial 16S ribosomal RNA". It matches the Rfam family "Bacterial small subunit ribosomal RNA", at positions 338 to 696 of the family's 1533-position model. The record is from RNAcentral.